RNAcentral lists this ribosomal RNA (1470 nucleotides) under metagenome. Its description in RNAcentral is "bacterial SSU rRNA". It matches the Rfam family "Bacterial small subunit ribosomal RNA". The record is from RNAcentral.
AGAGUUUGAUCAUGGCUCAGGACGAACGCUGGCGGCACGCUUAACACAUGCAAGUCGAACGAGAGAAGAGGAGCUUGCUUUUCUGAUCUAGUGGCGGACGGGUGAGUAACACAUGAGCAAUCUGCCUUUCAGAGGGGGAUACCGAUUGGAAACGAUCGUUAAUACCGCAUAACAUAAUUGAACCGCAUGAUUUGAUUAUCAAAGAUUUAUCGCUGAAAGAUGAGCUCGCGUCUGAUUAGCUAGUUGGUAAGGUAACGGCUUACCAAGGCGACGAUCAGUAGCUGGACUGAGAGGUUGAUCGGCCACAUUGGGACUGAGACACGGCCCAGACUCCUACGGGAGGCAGCAGUGGGGAAUAUUGCACAAUGGAGGAAACUCUGAUGCAGCGAUGCCGCGUGAGGGAAGAAGGUUUUAGGAUUGUAAACCUCUGUCUUCAGGGACGAAAAAAGACGGUACCUGAGGAGGAAGCUCCGGCUAACUACGUGCCAGCAGCCGCGGUAAUACGUAGGGAGCGAGCGUUGUCCGGAAUUACUGGGUGUAAAGGGAGCGUAGGCGGGAUCGCAAGUCAGAUGUGAAAACUAUGGGCUUAACCCAUAAACUGCAUUUGAAACUGUGGUUCUUGAGUGAAGUAGAGGUAAGCGGAAUUCCUAGUGUAGCGGUGAAAUGCGUAGAUAUUAGGAGGAACAUCAGUGGCGAAGGCGGCUUACUGGGCUUUAACUGACGCUGAGGCUCGAAAGCGUGGGGAGCAAACAGGAUUAGAUACCCUGGUAGUCCACGCCGUAAACGAUGAUUACUAGGUGUGGGGGGACUGACCCCUUCCGUGCCGCAGCAAACGCAAUAAGUAAUCCACCUGGGGGGUACGACCGCAAGGUUGAAACUCAAAGGAAUUGACGGGGGCCCGCACAAGCAGUGGAGUAUGUGGAUUAAUUCGAAGCAACGCGAAGAACCUUACCAGGUCUUGACAUCGUAUGCAUAGCUCAGAGAUGAGUGAAAUCUCUUCGGAGACAUAUAGACAGGUGGUGCAUGGUUGUCGUCAGCUCGUGUCGUGAGAUGUUGGGUUAAGUCCCGCAACGAGCGCAACCCUUACUGUUAGUUGCUACGCAAGAGCACUCUAGCAGGACUGCCGUUGACAAAACGGAGGAAGGUGGGGAUGACGUCAAAUCAUCAUGCCCCUUAUGACCUGGGCCUCACACGUACUACAAUGGCUGUCAACAGAGGGAAGCAAAGCCGCGAGGUGGAGCGAACCCCUAAAAGCAGUCUUAGUUCGGAUUGUAGGCUGCAACCCGCCUGCAUGAAGUCGGAAUUGCUAGUAAUCGCAGAUCAGCAUGCUGCGGUGAAUACGUUCCCGGGCCUUGUACACACCGCCCGUCACGCCAUGGGAGUCGGUAACACCCGAAGCCUGUAGUCUAACCGCAAGGAGGACGCAGUCGAAGGUGGGAUUGAUGACUGGGGUGAAGUCGUAACAAGGUA